Molecule: long non-coding RNA, 1941 nt
Organism: Gopherus flavomarginatus (Mexican gopher tortoise)
Lineage: Eukaryota; Metazoa; Chordata; Testudines; Testudinidae
Exons: 2
Source: RefSeq, a predicted model, not a curated record
AGCACAGUUUUUUCUUCUGACCUGACACUACUAAAAUUAGGGUGGACAGUACCUAUCCAUGAUGUAACUGGGGUCAAGUCUUGGAAGGCUUUAGUGCAGUUGUGGUCCCAUCCAAAUUUAACAAAUAUUAACAUUUUAAUUAUGUUGUAAGUGAGUGUUCUGUUACUGUUACAGAAGAGCUUUAGCACAAGGACUUUUCUUUUAGGUGGACUCUUAGGAAAAUAUCCCAAAUUUCUACAAUUGGAGGAAAAUAACUCUUCAAUGCACAAGUUACAACACUCAUUCUUGAGUAGGGAGACCCUUUAAUAGAAGGACCAAAUGAAUAGUAGGAAUUAUCGAAGAGCAUGGAAAUUUUCUCUGCCUCAAUAAAGGAUUCUGAGUGCAAAGAAGUCUCCAUGAAACUUGUAUGGGAAAAUAGGGCUUUGUUCUCCAAACUACAGUAUUAAAGGCAUUUAAGUUAUCUCUUUCUCAGGCCAGGUCUAAACUGCAAAGUUAGGUCAAUGUAAGUUGCUUUGCAUCAGCCUAGUUGUGCAUGUAUCUACACUUAAAUUUGCCUCCCAUCAAUGCAAGUGACCCAUUACAGCGAUGCAGUAACACCAUCUCCCUGACAGGCGUUGUGCUGCCUCAAUCUCAGGAUAUUAACCAGGGCUCAAGUGUAGGCACUAUGUUAAUUAGGUUGACCUUAACAGUCCUCCAGAAGCUGCCCACUGCCCAGGGGUCACAGAGGCCUGAAGGCCUACCUCCCCUUUAAAGCCCAGCUCUCCAUUGUUGUGUGCAACUGUCCAGGUGACUAUGCCAGUUACACACUCCAGAUACACUCAAGCUUGGUGUAGUGAGGAGAUGUUGGGUCUCCUGGUCCUGUGGGAACAAGAGGCUGUGCAGGCACAGCUAGGGAUCAGCUGUAGAAAUGUGGACAUCUACAAGCAGAUUACAUGGGGGUUGCAGUGCAAGGGACUACAACAGGGACCAGCAGCAGUACCAUGUGAAAGUGAAGGAACUGCAUCAGGCAUAUCAGGAGGCGAACAGUCGGUCCGGUGCCAAGCCCCAGACUUGCUGCUUUUACAAAGAGCUGCAUGUUAUGCUUAGCAGAGACAUCUCCCCACCACCACAGCACAGACCACCGUGGAUACCUCUGAGGAACCCGAGUCACAGGCCCUGGAAUGAAAAACACAGAACAGGAGGAGGAUGGGGGACACGUGACUGGGGAGGGUCAAGCUAUGCUGCGAGCCAGGACCUGCUUGAGACCCCCCCUGCAGUCCAGUCAGUCCUGGCAGUCUAGCACAGGCAAGCCUGAUGCAGGGGAAGGAACCUCAGCUGUCACUACUGAGACCUUGAGGGGUUCCGCCUCCACAUGCAGAGAACACCAGAGAGGAGAGAAGAGGAUUUGGGAUGACACAUUCAGUGAGAGAUCCUGCAAGCGAGUGCUGCAUCAGAUCAUGAGCAAAGAUCCUGGAGGGGACCGCUGAAGACAACCCGGAGAAGGAAAGAGCUGAUAAGAGAGUUCCAGGAGGAAGAGGAGAGGGAGAUGUACCAGGAUAUAACAGGGUUUCUCCAGCAGCAAACAUAAAUGCUGCAUACCUGUUGUGGACCUGAAUGUUCAACAAUCUUGGGUUCACCUCUCUUUUUGCAAUCCAUGGAGAACCUCAUUACAGAAUCUCCCUACACUCUCUCCUCCCCUCAACAUUUCGCAUGGUGUCAGGGGCCGAAUCCCUUACCCCUACCAGUCCACCCUGGAGGACGUUAAGGACAACCACAGCUUCUCAUAUGCUGACCUGUGAAAGGCAUGGUUGCUGUAUGUGGAAAUAAAAUGGACAUGAAUGUUCUUUCCCUUAAGUUCAGUUUUAUUAAUUUUUCAAGCUUUUAAUGUAUUUGCUUUUAUUUGCAAAGAUUUUCUUUGCACUGGUUUUGUUACUGAAUAAAAUUCUAUUAUUUGGAAAAAAA